Molecule: long non-coding RNA, 544 nt
Filed under: Rattus norvegicus (Norway rat)
Lineage: Eukaryota; Metazoa; Chordata; Mammalia; Rodentia; Muridae
Description: long non-coding RNA NONRATT021941
Source: RNAcentral
GACUGACUCCAUGUGACUCAUCUCUUCAAGCCCUUCCGCUGUGCCUUCCCACCAUGGUGGACUAGAAUCUCUUUCAACUGUAAGCCGACUUGAGUGUAUGAGCACUACCUUUGGGCAGAGCCUGCAGACUCGAGAAGAGGGAGGGCCUUGGAUUUCCUGAAACUGGAGGUUUCUUCCUCGUGUGGUGUUUCAGCCUCUUCCUCCUCUUCUUCCGGGUCAUCAGUGUCUCCUGAAUCAUCACUGUCAUCUACCCAUUUUCCCGGCAUGAGACCCGCAGAGUCGUAGGAGUGGCAAAGAGGACCCACGAUGUGUGAGAUAAAGGACUCCUGAAGAUUGGCCAGCUGCGGGGCAGAGCGGUCCAUAAAUGGGCUUAUGGGCAAACCAAGGCUGGCUUCUUCAUCGCCCUAGAAAGAGGGAUUCACAAAGUCCUCCUUUAAGGCCUUAAGAAAACAAACAGAGAGGGACAUUUUGGAAAAAAAGUGGAUGACUGAUUAUACACACAGUUGUUGAAAAAAAUAAAUUAGCCAACAGGAUCUGUGGACAA